AAUAAUGGUUAAUCCACUACUGCACAGAGUCUGAAAUGCAGGUGUACAGCAGUGCUGAUAAAAGACCAAAACAGCAUCCUGUCAGUUCUUUUCAGAAGACUUAAUACACAGUAAAAUGCUACCUUGCUUUGCAGAAACUCGGUGCACGUUUGUAAAAGUAUCUGUGUAAUGAUUUUGAGAGGUCCUUUAACACAUUUGUUGGAAGAAUUUACAAGAUUUUGGAGGUAGAGUAGUGGCAUUUCCAUACAUGCAAAUGAAAACAACUUUGAAGAUUUGAGAAUUUUCAAAAACUGUUAUUCAAUCCACUCAUAAGUAUAUUUAAUUUGCA
Molecule: long non-coding RNA, 328 nt
Filed under: Anas platyrhynchos platyrhynchos (common mallard)
Lineage: Eukaryota; Metazoa; Chordata; Aves; Anseriformes; Anatidae
Description: lncRNA (ENSAPLG00000022515.1)
Source: RNAcentral